GCCAGUCGCAGCCUGCAGCCUCAGCAACUUGGGAGGCUGAGGCAGGAGGAUUGCUUGAGCCCAGGAGUUUGCAGCAGCCUGGGCAGCAUAGCAAGACCCGGUUUCAA
This 107-nucleotide small RNA is filed under the name Marmota monax (woodchuck). The record is from RNAcentral. Lineage: Eukaryota; Metazoa; Chordata; Mammalia; Rodentia; Sciuridae.